GCAAAGACGAAGGAAUCGAAGGUCAAGGUGAUAGAAUGCUGACGAUCUGUGGACUUGCGGUUGAAUAAUGAAGCAGUGGAGGAUGUAAUAUUGACGCUUGCGUCCACCAGGAGAGUGAAGUCCAUGCGCGGGGAUUGCAACAACUUCUGCAUUUGGCGAUUCAAAAGUUUUUAGCAGAGCCUCGACGAUUCAAUGAACGCCUUCACAAACAUUUGAAAUGGGUUUUGUUCAAAUUGCUAAGUUUGUAGGUGCUUGCGGUUGCACGAAAGUUUGCAAGAGUGUGCCAAAAUUUCCAAGCAACGUUGAUAAGAGACAACAAAUUCAAAUGCUCGGAAUUUGUGGGGCGGAAAUUAGGGUUUCCCCUGUAGAUGUCAAGUUACUAAGCUCAAAAGAUAAUAGAAAUAGGCGUGAUUUUUUUAUUCAAAAUUUAAAAUUUCAACAAUAAAUAAAUUGAAAGGAAUAAAAUAAAAACAACUAGCUCCGAUUUGAGGGUAUAAA
RNAcentral lists this long non-coding RNA (498 nucleotides) under Physcomitrium patens. Its description in RNAcentral is "long non-coding RNA (PPAT_LNC008690)". Lineage: Eukaryota; Viridiplantae; Streptophyta; Bryopsida; Funariales; Funariaceae. The record is from RNAcentral.